AUGACACAAUCAGUUGAAUCAUGGCAUAUUCCACACCACAUGGUGACCCACAACAAUAAGAAUCGCAUAGUGUUCAACUGCUCUUACCAGUACCAAGGUCAGAACCUGAAUCAGUGGCUGUUACCUGGACCCACCUUAGGACCCUCACUCCUAGGAGUGCUGUUACGAUUUCGAGAGCAUAGUGUAGCCAUAAGUGGUGAUGUGAAAGCCAUGUUCCACCAGGUCCGCCUGCUCCCUGAAGAUCGGCCCCUUCUGAGAUUUGUCUGGAGAGACAUGGAAAGAGACCAAAUUCCAUCUGUGUUUGACUGGCAGGUUUUACCUUUUGGUAGGACGUGUAGUCCAUGCUGUGCCACUUACGUCAUGCAGCACCAUGUAGUCAGUCACAGCCAGCCAGAGGAUGAUGUGAGGUUUUCCAUUGAGAAAUGCUUCUACGUUGAUAAUUGUCUGCAAAGCCUAUCCUCACCUGACCAGGCCAGAACGCUGAUAGAUAAGCCAAGGGAGACUCUAGCCUCAGGUGGAUUUGAACUCCGACAGUGGGCCAGCAAUAGGCCGGAAGUCAUCAGUCACCUACCCGAAGAAGCUCGAUCAGACAAUCUGGAACUCGCUCAUGACCGAAUAGACAACCCUGAAUCUGCUCUUGACCUCAGCUGGCACUGUUCAACAGAUGUGCUGAGAUACAAACAUCGCCCUGUGAAUUAUGAUGCUCCUACCAUGCGAAACAUCUACAAGGUAUUAGCAUGCCAAUACGACCCGCUCGGCUUUAUUCUGCCAUACACCACCCAUGCCAAAAUAUUAGUGAGACAACUUUGGGACAAACACAGAGACUGGGAUGACCCCCAGCUGCCGCAGGAUUUGCUACAGGCCUGGAAGGAUUGGGAAGGAGAGUUAAAAUUCCUGCCAAGGAUCACGUUCCCCCAAGCAUACGUACUUCCUGCCAUGGAUGAGAGAAGAAUAACUCAUGAGAUACAUGUAUUUUCUGAUGCCUCGGAACAAUCCUAUGGAGCUGUCACUUACCUGAGGACAGUUGAUACUCAGGGUCAGCCUUAUCUCUCCUUCAUUGUAGCCCGUUCAAGAAUUGCACCUAAACGACUGCAUUCAAUACCCAGACUAGAGCUCUGUGCUGCCCUCACAGGAGCCCAACUCAGUAGAUUGUUAGAACGAGAGCUUACCCUGCCAAUCACCCGAACUACCCUUUGGACUGACUCAACCACGGUCUUGUCCUGGUUACACUCUGAGUCAUGUCGAUUUAAGGUUUUCGUUGGCACUCGAGUGACAGAAAUUCAGGAGCUCACUGAUCGACUUUCAUGGCGAUAUGUUGACUCAGCGAAAAACCCUGCUGAUGACCUCACCAGAGGUAUGAAGCUAGAAGAACUAGCUGAACCUAACCUAUGGAGCCAUGGGCCACCCUUUCUUCUUCAAAGCCCAGACAAAUGGCCGACCCCACCAACAACAGUAAUAGACGAGUGUCACACAGAACUUCGCAAGUCUAUAUUCUGUGGAGUCACUAUGACCAUACCUGACAAGGAGCCUUACCUACCAGAUGUGCAUCAAUAUACCACAUGGAGGGAACUUUUAGAGGCAACCGUACAGAAGCUUCAAGGGGCGGCAAGUAUCAGCAGAGCUCUUAGCGCUGAUGACUACAGUACAGCCGAGAUUCUUAUCCUAAGAAGGGCACAGCAGGAUAGUUUCACAGAGGAGUUCAGCCUACUGCGAAAUGGGAAAACAGUUCAAAGUAAUAGCCAUCUACUUACGCUGUCUCCAGAGCUGGACAAGACAGAUGAACUCAUUAAGGUUGUGGCAGAUUGA
Molecule: long non-coding RNA, 1806 nt
Organism: Cyprinus carpio (common carp)
Lineage: Eukaryota; Metazoa; Chordata; Actinopteri; Cypriniformes; Cyprinidae
Source: Ensembl